Molecule: long non-coding RNA, 639 nt
Filed under: Homo sapiens (human)
Lineage: Eukaryota; Metazoa; Chordata; Mammalia; Primates; Hominidae
Description: HSALNT0051651
Source: RNAcentral
CUUGCAGGCUCCUGCAUUAUGCCAACACAGGGUACCCAUGGCUCUUGUCAGUGUUCACUGAGAUGACUAAAUGGCAAGGUGUGUUAAUACAUGUUAAAACUACAGUGCAAAUUUGCCACAAAACAUUGACAUUGUAACAUCUGCAAAGGAGUCAUCAUCAUGUCAAUAACAAGAGAGAGAAAGAAAACUGAAGCAAAAACCUGUGACUUCAGGACAACUGGAAAAGACAGGGACUUCAAACUAUAUAGUGAAAAAGAGCUAACCAAUUGGGUUGCCUGAUCUCAUGGAGACAAUCCUCACAGCUGAGACUAUUAACUUGUACUCAUAGAGGAUGCAGAUGCCAUCUUGGGUGUGGCGGGUGAGAUUGCUGGCAUAGCAUCUCCUUGCCACUAACCUUAUGUAGGGAUACUAUGGGGAAGACCCAGAUAUUCAAUCACAGUUUCUCUUGGAAGAGAUGUGCAAUACUAUCUAAUUAAGACAUGUUGUACCUGGUUCUGAGCAACCUCGGACUUUAGUAGAGACAACUCAUUUGCAACAGAGGAGAAGCAUGGGGGCCCCAAUGCCCACUUUUGAAUAUAGCACCUCCAAUUCUUAGCUAACACUUUGUUUGUAAAAGGGUUUUAGUGCUAAUGUUUGUAA